GACGAACGCUGGCGGCGUGCUUAACACAUGCAAGUCGAACGGAAAGGCCCUGCUUUUGUGGGGUGCUCGAGUGGCGAACGGGUGAGUAACACGUGAGUAACCUGCCCUUGACUUUGGGAUAACUUCAGGAAACUGGGGCUAAUACCGGAUAGGAGCUCCUGCUGCAUGGUGGGGGUCGGACAGUUUCGGCGGUUGGGGAUGGACUGGCGGCUUACCAGCUUGUUGGUGGGGUAGUGGCUUACCAAGGCUUUGACGGGUAGCCGGCCUGAGAGGGUGACCGGCCACAUGGGGACUGAGAUACGGCGCAGACGCCUACGGGAGGCAGCAGGGGGGAAUAUUGCACAAUGGGCGGGAGCCUGAUGCGGCAGCGCCGGGUGCGGAAUGACGGCCUUCGGGUUGUAAACCGCUGUCGCCUGUGACGAAGCGUGAGUGACGGUAAUGGGUAAAGAAGCACCGGCUAACUACGUG
Molecule: ribosomal RNA, 468 nt
Filed under: uncultured bacterium
Lineage: Bacteria
Description: partial 16S ribosomal RNA
Rfam family: Bacterial small subunit ribosomal RNA
Source: RNAcentral